This 25-nucleotide non-coding RNA is filed under the name Cricetulus griseus (Chinese hamster). Lineage: Eukaryota; Metazoa; Chordata; Mammalia; Rodentia; Cricetidae. The record is from RNAcentral.
UGUUUAGGUACUUCCAUGUUGUAGC